AGUAAUACCGUAUACGCCCUUCGGGGGAAAGAUUUAUCGGAGAAGGAUCGGCCCGCGUUAGAUUAGGUAGUUGGUGGGGUAAUGGCCUACCAAGCCUACGAUCUAUAGCUGGUUUUAGAGGAUGAUCAGCAACACUGGGACUGAGACACGGCCCAGACUCCUACGGGAGGCAGCAGUGGGGAAUCUUGGACAAUGGGCGCAAGCCUGAUCCAGCCAUGCCGCGUGUGUGAUGAAGGCCUUAGGGUCGUAAAGCACUUUCGCCAGGGAUGAUAAUGACAGUACCUAGUAAAGAAGCCCCGGCUAACUCCGUGCCAGCAGCCGCGGUAAUACGGAGGGGGCUAGCGUUGUUCGGAAUUACUGGGCGUAAAGCGUACGUAGGCGGAUCAGAAAGUAGGGGGUGAAAUCCCAGGGCUUAACCCUGGAACUGCCUCCUAAACUCCUGGUCUUGAGUUCGAGAGAGGUGAGUGGAAUUCCAAGUGUAGAGGUGAAAUUCGUAGAUAUUUGGAGGAACACCAGUGGCGAAGGCGGCUCACUGGCUCGAUACUGAC
RNAcentral lists this ribosomal RNA (548 nucleotides) under uncultured Rhodobacterales bacterium. Its description in RNAcentral is "bacterial SSU rRNA". It matches the Rfam family "Bacterial small subunit ribosomal RNA", at positions 162 to 744 of the family's 1533-position model. Lineage: Bacteria; Pseudomonadati; Pseudomonadota; Alphaproteobacteria; Rhodobacterales. The record is from RNAcentral.